RNAcentral lists this long non-coding RNA (21771 nucleotides) under Phoenix dactylifera (date palm). RNAcentral describes it as "long non-coding RNA (PDAC_LNC002464)". The record is from RNAcentral. Lineage: Eukaryota; Viridiplantae; Streptophyta; Magnoliopsida; Arecales; Arecaceae.
AUCCUCCUCUGCUCCUUCAGAUGAGUCAAUUUCAUGUGAUGCCCAGCCUUAACUUGCUUAUGCAAAAAUUUUCAUAGAUUUAGGCAGAUCCUUGCCCGAAUGGUAGCACCAACCUAGAAUACGAGCUUGAUGUCAAGGAACAUAAGAAAUAUGCUAUAUGCCAGUGACAACAAUCAAAUAUUUCUAUUUAGUUUUUGUCUGGUUGCAACGUAGGCUGACAGUGGUUGUAAUUUUGCUAUUAUGGGAUUGCAUGAAGCUACAUGAUGCAGCUAAUAGUUGAUAAACCACUCAAUAUGUUGGCAAUCAUUAAUUAUCCAGGGGAAGAGAGCUCUGAAUUGUUCUUCUUGACACAGAUUUGAUCAUCAGCUUGUAUAUGGGGGUUUAUUUGGAGAUAUGGCUGCUACAACUUCCUGUAAAAAAAGUAUAAAGAAACAAAACACCUUUACAAAGAAAUGUUAUACUUAAUUCAGGCACUUCACCACACAAUGGACAAAGCAGUAUCACCCCUGGGCUGCACUGUUGAGUUCAAAUACAUUGUCUCGUCCAUCAUGUUCAUUGUAGACAUAGAUUUCAGAAAGAAUAAGCACACAUUGACUUUAAAAAAAUUCACACCGACUUUAAAAGAAUUCCUAUAAAACUACAAGGAUUUAUCUAUUAUUCUGUGUAUUGGUCUGAUUUGAUGGCAACACAACAACAUGCUAGCUAUUAGCAUCUGUUUCUGCUUGAUGACUGAGCAUGAAUACUUUUACCUAAUUAAUGCAGCAGUUAUGCAACUCUUCUCUCCUGCAGGAUCCAGAUGCAAUGCAAAUAUUGGGACAGAGAACACAGGCAAAUGCAAGGGCGUUCAAGGAAUGGGCUAAUCAACCAAGUAAGGCUUUCUUAUUGAAGCUGUCAUUCUUUUUCUCCAUCUAAAAGGAGAGAAGGGGUACUGGAAUUAGAAGAAAGGAACAUGAUAUCUAAGUACCCAAUUUCCCGUCAAGUGGGGAGAAAACAUAAUCUCGAGGUGACCCACAUGAGCUCAAUAGUAGUUAUUUUCCCCUUCCAGGUAAUGAUAAGUUGAUAAGUUUUAAGGAGCUUGAAAAUUUAGUAGGAACAACACAUGGACAUGUAGUUACAGACAUUAGUGGUAACCGAUCCUUCAUUUAUAUAUUACGAGAAAGUUUAUUUAUUUGUAUAUUUAAUGUCUUUAAGAUAUAUGUUGGAUGUUCUUUUCAUUGUUGAUGGCAGCUAUCUACGGUGGAAAUGAUGCAUUUCAUGGUAGUUGUGGAUGAAAGUUUUCCUCUUAGGGACUUAUGGCUUGAUGUGCAUCUCAUUUAAUGUAGUGUUUCACAAAAAUUCAUGCUUUGCAAUUAAUCCUCCAAAAGCUGCUAAUAAUUUUUUUUUGUGUGCGCUAAGGCAGGCAUUCCACACUGUUCUAGUAUGAAGGGCCAUCAAAGUUGACAUCAAGUUGGUCUAUGGUAUCUUACUAGAAUGCUCAGUGACAAAGGAGGCUAUCCAAUUUGCAGCCAAAUUCACCUCAUGCUAGAUGUGCCUUGCGAAGAAUGAAGUGCUCUCUCUUGCCAGUCUCCAAAUGUCAUGCAAAAAGAGGGUGGGUACCGAUCCUCUCCGCUUGUUUCUGGAUCCAUCCAAUCACCGUGAUAGAGGUGCCCUCAAUAUAAAUAAAAUCGGCUCUUAGGACUUGCCACGUAUAGCUAACGCCUGCUCAAGCCGCCCUCAAUUUUGCUUCAGGAAGAGGUAUCAAAGAUUGGACUCUCAUCAGUCGCUAUGAGCUUAUAAUUCCAGUCUCUGAUCACAAAUUCUACUCCGCUUCUACUGCCACCAUUAACUACACUGUCGUCAAAGUUGACUUUGAGGAAAAUUUAGGGUGGGAUCUCCCAAGUGAUGAACACCAUCUGGGUUGCUACAAGAGUUGAGAAGGAGUUUCGAGUAUUCCAAGUUGUCAUAGGCUCUCCAACAAUAUGUGAGUGGGUGAUCUCAGCGGCUUAUACUAAAGCUUUCUCCAAAAUGAAUAUUGGCGGUUGAAUGUUAUCUUCAAAAGUUCGAGCAUUUCUGGCUAGCCAAAUUUGAUAAACAACAUAAGUACUUAUAAUGUCGGAAUGUUUGGUAGACGAUCCACUGAUGCUACCCCUUAGAUAUGCAAGGACUGCCUUAAUAAGAGUCAUCGACUGAAGCAACUCCAGAGAGGCACUGGCUAGCCUUUAUAUCCACAUCGCUCUCCCACAUUGGAAGAGGACAUGAGCGAUAGACUUCUUCAUCUCACAACAAGGGCAGGCCGGUGGUUUGUUCAUCCCUCGUUUAGUUAGAACAUCCCUAGUUGGAAAACGACUCUACACCAUCUUCUAGAUAAAUUGGGCAAGUGGACACAAGCCUCUAGAUCCAAGUACAAUUUCGCCUCUAUGCAGUCUUUCUCUAAAGAUAUCAUAAUGGUCUCUCACCCUCAGGCUACAAGUGAAUCUCCAAACCCUCACUGUUUCUCCAUGACAGGCUUAUAAGCAUUUGGUGGUUUAACUAUAUACAUUGAGAACUGUUCUGGAUUAGGUUUGGCCAAAAUGGGUGAUCCAGUGAUUCAAUUUGCUCAGCCAGAAUCAAGAAACAGAAUCUGCAGUUCCGAAGUUGAGUCCGAUUUAAGCCCUAAAAAGUAUGCUAAUUAGCAUGAAGCACAAGGCUGCCUUGCUGGUCCUGUGAUUGCAGAUUGCAGCAUUUCUUAAUUCUGAAUAUUGAGUCUCAUAUUCAGUGGAUCUAUCAAUAUGACUUCAAAUUGGCUGCAGGUUUAUGUGACCUUACAAACUCAAGGUGGAUGGAUAUGAUAUCAGAUCACUUUCCCUUGAUUGUUUGUUCGUCAAUCAAAAGAGAAUUCUGGAAUAAGAUAAUUAUUCAGUUUGGAGCAGGCUCAGCAACGUUGCUUUUUUCUACAUUGUUGUUUCUAUGCGAAUCAGUAAAAUAUCACAUGAAAAUUGAUAUUGAAGAUAGCAUUUGGACAGAAUUUCUAUUGUCCUUUGCUUCUAUUUUCUGAAUUUUUGAAAGCAUUAAAUCUUUGCUUCCAAAAACUAAAGAUUUCCAAAAAAAUAUUUUGGAAAAACAAAAAGGUUUUAUGAUGAUGCUUAGUCUAGGUGAUCUCUUCUUGGAUUUUGAAAAUGAAAACAGAAAACGACGGCAAUACCAAGUGGGCCCCUUUGUUUCUUUUUCUUAAAAGGUGAUUGGUUAAGGGGAAAAAAGGUCGGGUAUUCAGGGAUAAGAUAAUUUAUUAGGUUUUGUUUCUGGUUCCAAAGGCGAUGCUAAAUGGAAAAGAAGGGUUAUUUGUGCUCUCUCUCUCUCUCUCAAAAAGUUUCAGGAGGUAGUCAAAGUAGUCUUUAUUGUAUCUGAACAGCAAUCUGAUGGUUGGGUUCAUUUAGUCUGGGCUUAUUCAGACUGUUAAGCAGUUUAGCCCAUGAUUGACCUGCUUUGGCAAAUGUCAGUAGAAAGGUCAAGCGUAGGACAUCCUGAUUAGGCCAGGCUAUUACGGGCAAAGAACCUCAUCCUAGAUAUCUUGGAACGGUUUAUGGAUCUGCAAUCUCUUUUCAUGUCUUUUCUCAAUUCCUUCUGGAAGUCAAAACCCGAUUUUAAAAGAUUUUGUAAUAGCUUUUUCGCUUCUUCAGCAAUUAGUAGUCAAGUAAUGAGGAGCCCCACGCAUAAUUUAUCAUAAGCCUUUUCAAGGGUAAUGCCUAGAUUUCAUGUUCUAUGAGUAGCAAUCUGCUGGUCUUAAUUGCUUCAAUCCCGUAUAAAAUCGUUUUUAGCUUAUCUUCUGUUAAAUAUUCCUAAGCACAGAGAUGGUGUAAAUUAAUCUUUCGUUUAUUGCGUACAAGACCUGUGUUACCAAGCCAUUAAGACCAUCUACAUCUCAGGAGAUUUACAUCAAAAAAAAAAAAACAAUCGCAGGAGAUGUUAAUUUUCCAUCCACAGGCUCUCUCAAAAAUAUACACCUGUUUGCUAAUAUUUCAACUAAUUAGUUAAAUCUGCAGAAGAAAUAAUAUAUGCUCUGGGUUGCACCAGUUGAAUUAGAUUGUGACUCCAUUUCACAGGGUACGCUCCCCGGUAGUGAUAUGGCUACCAUUUGAUGGAACAGAGAACAUCAAUUCUAAUAAUUAACUCGCCGUGGUAGUUCAUCUGUGCAAUAAGAUGGAUAGUAUAUUAGCAUCUGCAUGCAAAUUUAUCCCUUUUUUUUUUCUGAGCAACCAUAUUUAUCCACUAUUGAUGCCAAAGAAUCAUAGUAAUGUAUGGACCUCCGAUGAACCAAAGGACACAACUGACUCCACCAAUACUAAUUCCUUGCCACGUUCCUUUCAAGAGGGCCAACACUGAUUAAUAAUACGAUCCUUUCUAUGUUUUUUUUAAAGGUUUCCAAUGUCAUGCAUCAUAAUGAAGUCCUGAGGCUGCUCCUCUACUGCCGCAUUCGUUGAUCUACGUUUCCUGCACCUGGUAGUUUAAAGGUGGUGACAAGUAUGGCCUGCAGUUCAUCUAAAGAACAGAGCAAAAAUCUUAGCAAAACCCUCUUUUUUCCCUGCAAAAAAGGAUGAUCAAUGUUACAUCUGCUGGUGGCUGGUUUUUCUCCCUAGUCCUGCAACUUCUGGCCAUGUAAUGUCUCUGGGAGCAGCAACCACCCCAAUAUGGAUCCAGACAUCUUGUUCGUUGGACGAAAGAAAUAAACCAAGCUUAGGUGCACUUCGUUACAAAAGCAAAGAAGAAAAAUUUCAGAGCAAUGAAAAGUUUACAUUCAGUUACUAGUUUGGCUUUGUGAGAUAUGAAUGCACCUUUUCAUGUGAUCGCCAAUUAACAAAAUGAUCAACCAGAUGGAGAUAACAUAAACUGCUUACAAAUUGGCUUUCUAGAAGUAGUUGCUUUUGCAUCUAUAAAACCUCUCAACAAAUGAACCUCACGAUUAGCCUUAGAUUUCCCUUAGAAACCUAAACUAAUUCUAUACUGGAAGAAUUAACAUGGUGAUUAUCAUUAACUAUUUUGUAUACUGAACAUAUCAUCAAUACUCUUAACAUGAAGAACUGUGCCAAUCAUGUCUCGGAAUCAAGUCUGGUUCCAGUCCUACUGUUUUAUCAGAGUAAAUCCAAUAGCAGAAUAUGAAAAUAUUCAUAUUAAAUUAUACCGACAUGGCACAGGUGAUUAUUCUUUCUUUUCACCCCACAAUUCUAUCCUUCUACUAAACCCUGUGAAUUCAUGUCAUUCUCCUCUUCUGGUUUUUCUCCUAAUAUUCACAUUACAUCACAAGCAGCAGAGGGGCAUCCCUAAUUGAGGUUGAGAAUAUCAGAUCAUUAGCAUAGCAGCACUAACAUAUUAAAAAGAGAGAUAAACAUUACUUAAGGAAGUCAGGAACUAAUAAUUUUGCUUCAAAACUACGAAGAACAUAUCAGUGGUUGAUCAGCAAAAUAUCCAACUAUGUCAACUACUGCAGUAUCAUAUACUCGUUUAGCCCCUAACUUAAGCAGUGAAGCAUGAUCUCUGCAUGUGGAUGUCUGUGAUACACAUUAUAUAGAUUGAGUUAAACUGACUCUUAUAUCCCCUGAAAACAGCAUGAUCUUGCCCCAUAUAAUCUAAAGAGUGUUUUCAUAACAUAGCUCCUAAAGGUUGAUUAUGCCCUCUGCUCUUUUAAACCAUGGAUUUGAGAAGAUAUGAUGUAAUAUGAUGACCAGACUGCUUCACCAUCUGAAAUUGAAUGGGUUAGAAAACUCUUUUAGUUACAGUGAAACAUUUUAUUAUACAUUAAUUUUGUUUUUUAAUGUGGACCUUAUGCUAUCAGGUAAUUUUUAAGGGUGAAUUUUGUGAAUGAGCACUCCCCUAAGAAUCUUGAGCUUAAGAUAGAUUCAAGACCUAUUGAAGCCAUAAUAAGGUUUAUCUCAUUUUUUUACAAGUUAACCACCUUUGCCUUUUUUUUUUUUUUGCUGAAAAAAAAGGGAAGGGGGGAGGAAGGGACAAGCCCACCCCCGCGUAGCAGCCCCUACUGGGCCCCCACCCCGUCAGGAGAAUGUUCGAUGCGGGCAGAAAUGACUGUGUAUUGGGCACGCCGGCCGGUUUUACUCAUACUCUCCCCACCUGUAGACCCGGCUUGGUUACCCCUCUGGGCUCCGGCACGAAUAUCACAUGUGAGUACGUCACACUUGGCACCACCAAGGCUACCAGCAGAGCAAUACGCCCUUUCAGACCCCGUGUCCAAGUAGGGAGCAUCCGGUCUCCACAAUUUAAUAGACGCCUGUGCGUUUCGAACUCGGAAUCACUUGGUUGGAAGUAAGGUCACGCUCCCACUGGGCUACCACCUUAGUGGUAACCACCUUUGCCUUUCGAAGGUGAAAUUAUAGUAGUAACUCUUAACAACAUGACUUUAUCCUUUUUCUUCAUUGUUAUAUUUCUAUAUGUUUUUUUUCUUUAUGUUCCAUGUUGCAUUGCACCCGUCAAGAUCCAUCUAGUAUAACAAAGUGAUUUAGAGCCAAGUUAUUGUAUUGUGAUUGCAGAUAUGAUGUAUCAACACAAAUGGGAAGGACAGUUUUUUCUGUGGGAAGAUCUUGAUCUUUUGACUCACCAUUGCUGUACAUCACACUCAUGCAACAAUGGUUAAUAGAGACUAAAUGUUUAUUUAAGACUAGGCCAGGUUCUGUAUCACAUAGCAAAGGCUCUAGAACAAAUUUUGAAAUUAAAUUUUAAGCUCUUUCAUGAUGAACACAUUUGAAUUGAACAUAUCUAACUCUGAACAACAGCAGCACACAACUAGUCAUAUCAGAAGUAGCAAUAACGCAUUCUAGACGGCCUAGGGUCAAUUUUUUAGGAGACAUCAAUAUAUUAUCAUAACCACAUCCUAUCUUUUAGGUUUUUAUGCUGACAUAUAGAAGAAUAUAAAACCAUAUUCCAACUACCUAUGCUACUCUAAUGAGCAGAUUCUUUUGUCAUUGUAAUAUGAUAGACAAAUAAUAUCAAAGAUUUUCCACAUUCUUCUUACAUUGCAUAUACCAUUGGUACAUCAGUAAGAGGGGUCAUAGAGGGAAAACUAAAUGAUAUAUUUGCAACUGAUCAAAGUCAAAUAGGAAAGAAAAUAAAAAGCAAAUUGAAUUUAUGCUACAAUAAGAAUGACGGCACAAAAUGUGGAAAACUUAAGGCAAUAAGAAAGGAAAGCACCUUCACUUAGCAGGAACACAAUUAAAAAUUUAAAUUACUGUAACAUAUAUUUUGAAUAGCUAUAAAUAAGGAUUAUCCAUAUAUGGGAAUUUAGGAUUUUAGUAAUUCCUAUCGUGCACACUCCAAUGUACUAAGUGCAGUUCUAUUGAUAAUAGUAUCGAUCUCAACAAAUUAAAGGAGGAUUCUGCCAAAAAAAGAAGGGAGGAUAAUCAAUAUAAACUUGCACUAUUAGUUUGAUAGGCUAUAUCAAAUUUCCAACUAAUAAAAAAAAAUCCCAUAUGUCUGAUUGAUAUUGCAGAUUCCAUCAGUUGUAAACACAUGAAAAGGUAACUUAUAGUCGAAAAGGUAGUCCAGAAAUGAUGACACAAAAAUGUCAAGUACACAUCGGUUACAAAAUACUUGAUGGAUAAAAUUCCUAUAUCAUCAUGGCAAGGAAAAAAAUAAAAAGAAAGACUAGGCUAUCAGGGAUUACUUGAUACUAGACUCACCUUAUUAGAAAAAGGCUUAUGCAUUUUGUGUUCCCAUUUAUUUAUUUUUACUAAGUGCAGCUUUAAGGAAAAAUCAAGAUAUGCUCAAUUUUGUUAAAAUCCUUCCCUGCAAUUUAAGGAACAGAAAACAUUCACAGAAUAUCUGUAACUAACUCAUCACAGCCAAUUGGUAUCUCUCAAUAGAGAAUUAAUUUCAUGAGUAAGCAUGCAUAAUGCAAGAAGAAAGGAAAGUCAAAGAGUUUAACAAUGGUGUUAUGUCUAUAUGGGUUGAUAAACAGUCUAAGGCAGUUUGUUCCCUAGGCCUAAUAGUCGCUCCAGGAAUCAGUAUAUGUUCUAUUAUUGUGCUUGAUAGCACUAAUGAAUGAACAUGGCAUAAUCCAAUAGCCUCCACUGCAGCCCAAGUAUUACAUUAGGCCAUGUUUCCUGUUUAUGUUGCCCAGCAUGUUUAGAACAUGAGACUGAAUCAGAGUAAUAUCCUGCUUCUAAAUAACAAUUUGUCUUUUGAUUACUAUAAAGAAAAACAUUUCAUCAAUCACAUGCAACCUAUAAGUUGUUUAGAAGUCCUCAAGAUCUGCAUCACACAUGCAAGCAAGCACACACAUGAGAAAUUAGAUAUCUUUGAUAACAACAUAGAGAUAAGAUCCAUUCAAUGUCAACCUAACUGCACAAAAUUCUAGUGCAUGUGAGAAGUUCAUGGAACAAUCUAGCUGAGAUUUGUAUAUUUUUGAAUCAUUUAGCAUGAUAACAACAGAAAAGGACAUUGUCUAGACCUCACUGCCUCAACCAAAGAAAAUUUAUCUUGGCCAAACACAGAGCAAUUCUGAGAUAAUUUUGUUGUGCAAUAUAAGGAAAAAGGCACAGCAAAACAACCACGAAAUAUAAAGAAGAACGAUCAAGCAAGUUCUAUCUAAUACUUGUAAACAUUGAAGAAAAAAAAGAGAAUAAUCCUGAAAGCAACAAGACCAGCAUAUUUAAACACGACACAAGACAACGUACACUGAUAAAACAUAGGGAGAAAAAGGCAUCAACAUACACCACAAGGCCACCGAAGUUCAUGGAGAAAUACCAUAAUUACCUGACCAAUAUAGCUUGAGGUUGCAGCUGAUGCAAGGGAGAAGAUAAGAAAACCAAAAACCUGAUAGUUUUAUAAUACAUUGUUGCAUGUGCUCGAGUUACAAAGUGCUACUGUCAGAUAAUUUCUCUCUGAACCAUAAGCAUAUUACAUCAGAUCAAAGCAACAAUAUUUAUCAACCACAGUAGAAGUAUCCUGCUUAGUCAGUUUUGUAAAUCAUGUAGAUGAAAACAUCAUUUAGAAGCUUCCAUGUCAGGUUAUAAGUAACCUCUAAACCCUGUACACUUUUGAUGCUUUGCUCUGAGAAACUGGUUCCCUGUCGGAGGUAGUUCCUACAGCAAAAGGUAUGGUUGAAUGAACUGGUCGAGAUAUAUCUUGGUCCAUAUUUUGACAGGGUUUUAACAUAUGCUUUGCUCCUCCACUAAGUUUGACAAACCCUGAUCUUUCCUGUGGAUCGAAAUUUGAAGCACUAGACCCAGAUGUAGCUACCAUAUUGUCUUUCUCAUUGCCCAGAUGUAGCAUUGGUUCCCUGUCAGUUAUCUGACUCCCAUAAGAAUUGAUUUCUGAUGAUCCUACGUUACAUUUUGAAUGUUCAUGCAUUUGUUCUCUUCUCCCAGACUCUGUUGAAACAUUUGAGCCUUCUUGAAGAUUUAGAUUUGCCUUCUUCAAAGUAUUCAUAGAAAUAUCAUCGUUAGCUGCAGGCCUUUUUCUAGUUUUAUUGGUACAAUCCAGAGCCUUAACAUUUGCAAAUUCAAAUUUUGUGCCGGUGUUGUUUUUCUUCUUGCCUCUACAGCUGGUAUUGACUGCCGGGUGGGGCUUGUUUACCCCCAAGGAUGGAAUAGCUAAAUGGUGAACCACAGGAGCUGGACCAGGUAAGCUAUUGCCUCUGUAAAAUGGAAAAGAAAUUAUAGGUGCUGUAUAUGGAGAAGAAAAUGGUAAAACAUUGUUUCCAUGUAUAAUGCUGGGUUGGUUUGCAGAAAGUGGGGCAGAAUAAGGACAAGAUGAUGGUUGGAUUUUCUUCUGAUGUGUUGCAUUUAGCAGCCAAUGAGGAAGGGUUGGUGGAGAAUGAGCUAUAGAUGUUCGUGAAAGACUCCUACAUUCCUGAUAAGGAAAAGCAGGGUGAAAAGUUGACAUACUGUAAGGAACACUUUGGCUGUGCUUGCAAUGAGGAGAAUUUAGAAGCAUAUGCUGGCUCGCGUUCUGAGGAUAGGGUCCCACCACUGGUUGCUGAUGCCCCAUCUUGACAUGCUGAGUUCUUGAGUUACAAUUGACUGCAGAAUUGGUUGUCUUUUUCAGCAAUUGUUGAGGAAUUGAAUUAAAAAAUAGUUCCGCAUUAUAACCAUUACUUCCAAUGUCUGAGCUUCUUGACAACCAUUGUGGUUGAAAAUCAAGCUGCAUAGGAUUAGAACUAAAUUCAGUUGCUGGCAUACAGUAAACACUUGAGGGAACUUCUAAGGACUUGAAAAGAUUUUCUUUUGAGGAAACAUAUUCUGCAUGCUCAACUGGUUCCCCUCGAGGCCAUAUCUUCAUAAAGGGCUUACCAGACACUGUUAUAGAGGGGCAGUUUUGAGUUACUAGUUCAUUAUCAGACCAUCUCUUUCCAUCAUUAAAUCCUAGACAUUCUUCAUUACUUCUACCAACUGUGACAUUUUUACCCAUCAAACGCAUUGUUGGCCGGAUAACAGGUUGAAACCUGCUGUCUAGAUUCUUUUCCGCAUGGAAGUGCACUCCAUCAAUGUAAUUUUCAGUUUUAUUACAUUCCAUGCAUCCACAACAAGAGACUUCCAUUUGAUUUGUAUCACAAUGAGUAAUUUGGUCAAAAUCCUGAUUCUCACGAUUCUGGAUUUCCAUUAUUUCAAAUCCUUGCAAAUCAGUAAAACCCAUCCCAGAUGUUACCACUUUGCCAGCAGGGUAGUAUUGCUCCAAAGACCAACUUAGUGGAUCCUUUUGGUACAAUGAUGCACAAGGAAAUUUCUCUUUCAAUUUAACCUGGCUACUCUUUGGCUCAACACAAUUGGGAACUGGGAAGCUACAGACAGAAUUCCGUACCGAGUUUUGCUUCUUAUAGAAAUCACUGUAAACAAACUUAGUAUUAGAAUGCAGCUGCAUUAAUUCUCCCUGCGAAUUAAGAGGCAAACCAAUAAAGUCUUUGUCAACGCUCUUCUCCCUACAGGUAGACAUCAGAUCUGACAUCAAUCUUGACUCAUCAAAUUCCUUUGAACUGACUGAAGAUGAUAUGCUACUUAUCAAAUCUUUUGGAGAAUGGUGGUGCACUGGUUGAAAUCCUGGUCGGUGGCUACAGAAAUCCAUGGUAGGGUCCACACAUCGAAGGUGCUGUUCCUUACUGGCUUCCGAACUUUUUUCCAGACAAAAUGGUGAAUGCCGUAAAAUUGAAUUUCUGGUUAGGGUUAGUGAGUUUGUUGCAGUAGACCUUGGUACACACUUUUCAAUAGGACCAUGCAGAUUUCUUAUAGCACUUGACAUCAUUUGAGAACUUUCUUCCCCAUGAGUUCCAGCAUCACAAAUUGACCCAGCUUCAUGAAUAGGAUUCAGAACCUUUGGGUCACCUGAAUAAGCAUGAGUAGGUGACGUAGUGGAGCUCAGGCUAAAACAACUCAAUUCACUAAUAUCCUGUACAGCAUGAUUUAAGUCUACAGAUUCAGACAGGGGGCUCCUCUUUGUUUCAGGAGACUUCCUUUUGCUGGGAUCAGUAAAGCUAUGGGGGAUGGCAUGAUCAUAAGAGCCACUCAAUUGUUUCUCUUCAGAUACAGUUCCAUCUGUCAUCUCUACAUCACUUCUAGCCAAAUCUUUAUCCCUUGCAUUCACCACUUGAGCUCCCUCAAUAGGAGGAGGACAUUUAUCACCUUUGCUCAAAUUGUCCAUAGCUGAUGAUGCAGCCAAAACAUCGGAGAAUAUUUUGCAGAGGUUUUGCAGGUGAGGCAGCUGCAUAGUAGAACAUCUUUUUUUUAGCCCAAGUAUGUCAUCCUUGCCAGAAAAACUGACACGCUUUGCUGAUUUACAACAAAGUUUGAUGAAAUUUCCACCCUGGGCAUCACUUAUUGUCUUUCCCUUCUUGACAGAAGUGCCUCCUUUCCGGUUCUUGAGAAUGCUAUGUAGUGGGAACAUCCUUGUCACCUCCUUCUGAUUCCUAGAGAUCAAUUUUGAAGUUUGAAUAAGUUUGAAUUUAUGUUUCUUUGGUAAACUCUUCGCAGUAACUGACUUCUUUUGCCCAUCAACAAGGUUCCUCUGUAUUUUCCUGAGCUUCUUAUCGUGCAAUUUGUUCUGGAGUAUGUGAGAAAUAUCAACAGGAGAUGACAUUUUGAAAUUGCCAAUUUUCUCCUGGCAUAGGAAAGCAAGCAUCACGCAUCAUUCAUUUAUGGUCUUUCACAAUUUCUUCGCCAUAAAAAUUCACACGUGCUCACUUGCAUGCAUGUGAUAGGCUGUAUAAGGAAAAUUAAGAUAAGUGCUGUAUGACUACAUUCCAUUAACACAUCGAAUUGCAUGUAACAGAUUCAGUCUCUUCCUUAAAGGGAGUUCUAUCACUACAAUAUCUAGAUUACUAUGAAUUGAUGUUAUUUGCCCUAAAAUUAUGACAUUUAGUCUUCAGUUAGCUAUGUGCUUGUCAAGACAUGCCUGUCCUAUGAAGGUUAGGUGGUAUUUGCGCAACUUUCUCUAAAAGUCGAAGAACAAAAAUGACCCUUGCCCAAAAUAUCAACAUGUUCUUGAUCUAAGAAUAUGUUGAUAAAUUUUGGGUCAGAUCAGUUAGUGUAAGAUAUAAAUCUUUUAUGUCACGCAUCACCUAACAAAUUAAGAAGAGAAGAUAGCCAGAAUAACUGGCAGUCAACAAUUUUACAUUACACCAAGCGCCAUAAGUCAGAAAAGUAAAUUAUAAAGGCUAUUUAUUAUGAAAGUUUUUCCAAUUAAGACACUCCACUUUAAGUUUUGGUUCAAAAGCAGAAAUGAUAGUCCAUAUCCAUAAGUUAAGACAUAGGAAAGAUCAGAAUGAAAAUAAUGUAACUUGGAUAGAGCAUUGACUCCAUAAGAUGCGCUAUUUCCAGACCUCCAUAUAUAAAAUCAAAACAUAACUAUGAAAUGCUUCCUAGCAUGGAGGACUCUUACAAAAUUUUCAGCCAAAUUUGCCAAGAGACUGUCAUGUACAACCUGUCAAGCUAUCAUAUGUCUAUAAUUCAGAAUAUAUGAAUUUAACAUAGGUAUGUCAUCACAUAUUUUAAGUAGUAUCAGAUUUGAUAUAGCUUGUAUGUAGGCACUGACAAAUUUAUUAAUCACAAGCAACCUAAUAAAGAGAGAUCAUGUAUAAAAUAAGAUGCAUUCCCCACCACAUCAUUAGGCACAGUCUUCAAACUUCUUGGAACUACUCUAGAUGACAGAUGUUAAAAGAUAUUUUCUUUGGGGAGAGUAGUACUUUAGAUAUAUGGUGUCCUCAUCUUUUAUGCAUUAGUAUAUAAAGGUUCUACUUUAUUGCAAGGUUUGCCGUCUCGGUAUCGGACUCCGUACUGGUACCCCACUAGCACAAUGUCGAUAUAGUACGGUAUGAAAUUUUUUUGGCGUACCGACUCGUACCGGAUACCUGUACUGAACCGGUACAGUACGGUAUGCCUCAUACCAUCCGGUUCGGGCCGGUACAGCGUUCUUUGCUUUAUUGUGUAUUUUAGCCUACUGCUUAUAUUAUAGGGUUAGCAGUCAUUACAUUUGCUUCAAUUAUUGUUCGCCAAGUUUCAUGAUAUAGAAGAAUGAAACAUCAUCAAAAGGCCUCCUUGGAAACUUUAGAAACUUACAGAAUGAGAUAAUACUCAUUUAUGUGUUGAUUAGAUAUCACAUAUAAUUGGUGAACAUCCCCAAAUUUUUUAGAAAGCUAGGUGAUGAGGGGGGGAGGCCAAAUGAAAGGAUAAAUGGAUGAACAAUCAAUCAUUCACAAUAAGAGAGGAGGAUGGAUAAAGCGAGCUACAAGCUCAAGCUAUCUCAUAUAUCAAAUAGUUUAGUAAUCACAAUCUGCCCUUCACCAUCUGCCACAUGGUCUAUUUAUACUAGUCUAAGUAUUAAUCAUGCUCCAACUUACUAAGUACCCAUUACAAUUUUCAAACCCAAAAUAAAUGUAAUCACAACUUACUAAGCUCCCAUUAUAAUUUCCAAACCCAAAAUAAAUGCAAACACAACUUACUAAGCACCCAGUACAAUUACCAAACCCACAAUAAAUAUAAACACAACUUAUUAGAAAUUAAAGAGAUAAGACUGACUUCCUGACCAAAGGUAGCUUCUUCCAUACUAUAUCAUUCUCCCCGGGUGUAAAAUACAAAUCAGAGUUAUGGCAUUCAAUCUCAUAUUGCAAAAAAUCCAUGAAUUUCUGGGGUUGGGCGAUGGUUUCUCGAUCCUCUCUGUCACUUGAAGGAAGAUAGCCACUUUCAUUAUAUAAUUCUUUUCAUUUUCCGUUUUUUUUUAGGUGGCGACUCCAUUUCUAUUUUAGGGUCCCUGUCCUCGAGUUGUCAUCCAAACUCGCUAUGAUACAUCAAUAUGUGAUUCAAUUUAACUUGUAAAAAUGUCAUGUCCAACUUUUGCCAAUAAAUUCCAAAGUCUGAUAAAGCCCUGAACCAUGACCAAAGAUCCUUGAGAAUGUCAUCUUCAUUUGAAAGUGCUAUGGAUAUCUCCUCUUGACAUAGGAUCUUUGGAUUGUUAUCAAGGAAAUCACUCAAUAACUUUCUGAAAUCAAACGAACCCUUCAAGCAUUUGAACUCAUGAUUUCUGAAAGGUGGAGUUUGGCGUCACAUCAUCAUGUUAAAAUAAUCUCAAAGCUCUUUGAAGCAUAGUUCUCCACAAGUCUAUGAAAGCCUUCAUUAAAAAGAUCUACUCCUUGAGAAGGGAGUAAGACCAACUCCUUACUCUCAUCCAAGACGGCAACAUUAGCAUCACGAUAAAUUUCUUCUAAUGACAAAGACAAAUACUGUGAAAACAUUAGACCGUUAUUCCGAAUCUGUUCAUCAUCCAGAUAAACAUCAUAUACCAGUGGAGAAUCCCAAUCCACACAACAUUCUCCUUUCUUAAUGUCACAAACAUUUUCUUGAAGAUUGAAAAUAUUUGAACUAUACCAAGCUUCAUUUGAAUCAAACCUUAGAGUUGUAAGCACCCUAUGGAUCAUAAGACUUUCACCUUUUUCUGGUUUAACCUCACACGCUCAAUGUCACCUUCUUCAUCAUACACAGGUUGUUUUGAGCUAUCAAGGUCUUCUUCUUUCAUAAAAUUUACAUGAAUAUCAACCUGUUUCUUUGGGCAAGUGUAGUGAUAAUGACCAACCUCUCCACACUUGAAACAAGAAUUAGAAUUAUUGCCAAAAUCAUGGAAAUUUGAAUUAGUACCCUUACCAUGAGAAGAGUCUCCUUUGGAAGAUGGGUAAAGAUUUUGUACCUCCACAAAUUUCUUUCUCCCAUUACGAGCGAACUUAGCCUCUACUUUCAAGGCUAGUUGAUAUGCACCUUUGAGUUUCUGAUGCAGCAUCGAGAAUGGGAGAUUGUUGCUGUGGCGACAGAACAGAGAAAACAGGGGAAAGAGGGAGGAAGAGAAGGAGAGGAAAGAGAGGAAGGGAGGAAAAGGAGAGGAAAGAGAGAGGGGAGGAGGAAAUGUGGGGAAGAAAUCUGAAAUCACGUUCAUUAAACCCUAAUCACAAUGAGGGUCCCAUAUAUAUAGGGCUCAAAACAAAAAAAUUAACACAAAACCCCUUAUACACAAAUAAUUCCCAAUAAAGCCCAAAAUAACACAAAUAAAGCCUUACAAUAAUAAAAAUGCAAACAAGCCUAAAAUAAAAUAAAAUCCGAAAUAAGAAUGAUGGACUGGACGGAUGGAUGAUCAGCUCGAAUGUCCCCAUCAACUCCUUCCGGAUGAAAAAAGCUCGACCCCGUCGAGUGUAGGUCUGGCCAGUUCUCGUACUGCUCCAGAAGGUCAGGAUCAAGGCGCUGCAACUCGGCUCUCGAAAUUCACGUCGCAUCCGACUCUGGUCAACUUUUCCACCGAACAAGAUAGCGUCGGUAACUUUCUCUCCUGGUAGAUAUAACAUGCUCAUCUAAUAUAUGUUCUAUGUGUUCUCUACGUGCAUGAAAUUUUGGAGGUGGAGGCUUAACAGUAGGUAAUGGGUCAGGGUGAUCAACAAAAGCGGUGUAUCAAGAAAGGGGUCAGAAGAAAUGAAUGUUGUCUUUUCGUAUGAGACUAAAUCUUCAAUAUUAAAUGUCACACUAAUCCCAUAAUCUUUAGAAAGAUUUACAACAUAAGCAUUCGAACUAAUUUUCUUUAGAACUUUAAACAGUCCCGCACUACGAGCUUGCAACUUUUUGAACGUUUCCGAAGAAAAUCGUUCAGGUCUAAUUCUCACCAUGACAUACUUGUCUAUAUUCAACUCUUUAUAACGCCUGUGCAAAUCAGCAAGAGAUUUAUAUUUUAAGUUAUUAUAAUGAAUGUGUUUGCUGAUUUUCUGAUGCAAUGAAUGCAGUUGUGAUGCAAAUGAUUGUGCAGACUCAGAGACUCUAUAUUAAUGAGACAUGGCAAUCAAGUUUAUGGGCUGCCUAGGUUUAUAACCAUUCAACGGACUCAUGCUUAAGGACCUAUUGACUGAACUAUUAUAUGCAAACUCAGCUGUCGAUAACACUAAAUCCCAAGUCCUAGCAUGUUCACCUACCAGACAUCUUAAAAGAUUUUCUAGAUUACGGUUAACAACUUAUGUCUGGCCGUCAGUUUGCAGAUGAUAGGCAGAAGAAAAUUUCAAUCUGGUGCCCAUCAUGUGCCAAAGAAUCUUCCAAAAGUAACUCAUGAAUUUAAAAUUUCUAUCGGACAUAAUAGAUUUUGGAAGGCCAUGGAGUCUAACGACUUUGUCAAAAUAGAGUUUGGCAAUUCUAGAGGCAUCAGAAGUCUUAGAACAGGAGAGAAAAUGAGCCAUCUUCGAAAAUCGGUCCAUAACUACAAAAAUGAAAUCGUGUUUGGUGGAAGUACGUGAAAGCCCUAAUAUGAAAUCCAUACUGACAUCUUGCCAAGGACACUCGAAAAUGGAUAGUGGAGUGCAUAGACCAGUGUUCUGCUUACGUUGUUUGGCUAGAUGACAUGUACGAUACUGAUUGACAAUUUUGGCCACGUCUCUCUUGAGACUCAGCCAGAAAAAAUAUCUCUCCACCAUUUCAAUAGUUUUGUCUCUCCUGAAAUGUCCAGAAAGUCCUCUAGCAUGUAUUUCCUAUACUAAGAAAUCUAUCACUGAGGUUCGAGAGAUACACAAUCGGUCAGAGUGAAAGAGGUAAUCAUUUUGCAGAAAGAAAUCGCUUCGUUCUCUUUCUACUCCGUCUCAUAGGGUCAGGUAUAUCUCACUAAGGUUAGGACACGUGGUGUAUUGUUCCCUGAUCCUCUCAAAGCUAAUUACUUUAGUGCUCAUCAUGGUUAGGAGGAAGAUCCGUCGACUGAGCGCAUCUGCAGCUUUAUUCUCAACUCCGGCUUUAUGUUUCAAGACAAAAGUAUAGGCUUGAAAAAACUCAAUCCAUCGGCCAUGUCUAUAGUUCAGUUUCUUUUGGGAGUUGAGAUGUUUCAAAGCCUCAUGGUAUGAAUACAAUACAAACUCUUGCGAUAGCAAAUAGUAUCGCCAAUGUCGCAAAUCUUGUACUACCGCAUAGAAUUCUUUAUCAUAGGUGGAGUAGCGUAUCCUGCCGUCGCUUAAUUUUUCGCUGAAGAAUACGACAGGAUGACCUUUUUGACUUAACAUGCCACCUAUGCCAACGCCAAAGGCAUCACAUGCGACCUCGAAUACCUUUAUGAAAUUAGGAAAAAGCAAAAUAGGAGCUUCGAUUAUCCUUUUCUUAAUUUCAUUAAAUGCUUGGGAUGCCGACUUGGUCCAGAUAAAGUCUUCAUUCAUGCAAUCUGUAAUGGAAGACAUUAUCGAACUAAAACUCUUAAUGAAGUGGCGGUAGAAAGUGGCCAAACCAUGGAAACUACGCACUUCCAUUAGGGCCUUGGGCUCAGGCCAUUCUAGUAUCACGCUUACUUUCUUCGGGUCAGCGGAAACAUCCUUAGAAGACACUAUGAACCCUAAGAAAGUGACAUGAUCUGUCAGGAAGGCACACUUCUUGGGGUUUGCAAAGAAGCUUUCUCUUCUAAGGACAUCACAGACUUGCCUUAAGUGUGAGAGAUGAAGCUCUUGAGUUUGGCUAUAUAUCAGGAUAUCAUCAUAAUACACAACGACAAAUUGAUUUAAGAAAAGUCGAAAGAUCUGCGUCAUCAUCCUCAUAAAAGUACUGGGAGCGUUUGUUAAGCCGAACGGCAUAACUAACCAUUCGUAGAGUCCAUAUUUUGUUUUAAAGGCAGUUUUUCAUUCAUCCUCAGGACGAAUCCGAAUCUGGUGGUAUCCACUCUUCAGGUUGAUCUUGGAAAAGAUUGUAGCACCAGACAUGUAAUUUAAGAGGUCAUCCAGCUUUGGGAUGGAAAAACGAUACUUAACCGUGAUUUUAUUGAUGGCACGGCUAUCAACGCACAUCCUCCAAGAACCAUCUUUCUUGGAGGCAAGGAGUGUGGGUACAAUUCAGGAGCUUAGGCUCUCACGAACAUAUCCUCUUGUGAGGAGUUCGUCAACUUAACGUUUCAGUUCAGUGUGUUCGCUUGGGUUGAGCCUAUGAUGGAAAAGACUGGGUAAGGAUGCUCCGGAAACUAGGUCAAUUGCGUGUUGAAUAUCAUGCAUCGGAGGAAGUAUAUCUGAAAGAUCCUUAGAAAAAACAAAGUGAAACUCCUCUAGCAGGGAAACUAUUGCCGGUAGAUGCUCGGAGUUCGAGUCCACAUUAAUGACUCUAGCCACAAGUGCAAACAUAAGUGACUGGUUUUCAAUAUCUUUUAUUACCUCUUUCGAAGUAAUGAUGUGAGGUGAUUCAUCUUUACGCAGGUUAGCACUCUUCUUUUCAGGGGCGGGCUCUCUAGGAGGCAAUGAGUUCAGUAUAAUUUUUCGAUCCAGGAACAUAAAGCUACACGAAUUCGAAUGUCCAUGAAGUGUGACUUCCAUAUCGUAUAGCCAAGGUCUUCCUAGAAUGACUUGACCUACAUCCAUCGGAAUGCAGUCACACCAGAUUUCGUCUUUAUAAGAUAGUAAUUAAAUCGGGAUGAGGCAUCUUUCUGACACAGAAAUGGAUGUCUUAUCCACCCAAGCUACUUUAUAUGGGUUGGGAUGAGGAGUAGAUUUUAGGCCGAGGUGGGAGACAACUUCGGAAGCAAUGGCGUUGAUACAACUUCUGCUAUCAAAUAGGAUUUUGCACAUUUUAUCAUUGAUCCUAACGAGAGUGUAGAACUGGGAGGUCCUACACCAAUCUUGUUCGGUCUGAGUCUGAGCUAGUGUACACCUAACCAUAUAGAGCUAGGAUUUUGGUUACUUGGAUCAGUGAGCUCCUUUUGUGGUUCAGGCUGAAAAAAUUCUAAUCCGGCAUGUUCAUCUCCAAAGUCUUUUACAUAAUCUUCGAUGUUUGGCUCAUAGACAUUUUCAACAUAUUCAGUCUCUUAGGUUCUAACUUCUGGUUCAGUAAUUAGGUAGGUCUUGGCAGUACAUUGGGACGCUAUGUGGCCAAACUUUUAGCAUCGAAAAUAUUGGUUUUGGCUUCGAGAAGAAGGGUUAGGACCUAAUAUUUCUUUUUCUUUAUCAUUUGAAGGGUUCAGGACAGGCAUCGAGGAUGCCUUAGUUGGUGUUUGGAUCGGACCGGGCUGGUUAGGAGGAUUGGAAAGCGGUCUAGGUUGCGGAAGAUAAUUUUGGUUAGGUCGGGCUCCUGAGGCCAUUGGUCGAGGGUCGAUAUGCCUCACCAUAGGGGGUCGUAAAAAACUGUCCUCAUCUUGAGCCAAGCCUCGCGUAAAUAUGGCGCGCGGGCCGGGGCCAAGCCGCACGCAGAUAUGGCGCAUGGGUCUAGCUACCAAGGAUGCGGAGGCGGGCAGCGAGUUUGGGUUUGAGACUCGGACCCGGAAAGAGAAGGGGUGGAGGUGGGCGCUCGAGGAGUGGCUUCAGAAGAGGGGUUUGGGCUUCUUGAGAUGAGAGAGGGGAAUGAGGGGGCGAUGUUGUAGGGAGGGAGGCCGUUCGGAGGGUUUUUGGUGGCGAUGGGCGGCGGGAUUUCGUGGCGGCGUGCGGCGGCGGUGGGGUGAGGCGAGGACGGGGGUGGCGGGCGGCGGAGGGGAGGUGGUGAGGUGGCGCUCAGGCGGUGCGGCUGUGGGGCGGUUCGCGGCGAAGAUCCGACGACGCUGUGGUCGGCCACAGGGAAGGAGGACGGACUCAAAAGAGGCGCUCGGGGAAGGGCCUCGGAGGAGGUGCUUGGAGCUGAUCGGCGGUGGGCUUCAGGCGUCUGUCCAAACGGCGAAGAUUCGGGCGGCGGGGACGGGCGGUGAUGGCUCGGAUGCCGAAGGCACUAGCGAUAGAGCUCGGCGGCGGCGGGGACCCGAGGGACGGAGCGGCGAUGGCUGCACAGUGCAGCGACAAUUGCGGCGGGGAGGCCACCGGAAGAUGAACAGGUACUUUUCCCUUUUUUCAGUCACGUGUGGUCACGUGCAAUUUUUUUUGGGGGCACGUGAAGUCAUGUGUCACGGCCUUUUUUGUUCCUUUUGUGGAACGGAUUCGAGUUACCAAAAAAAAGGUUAACGGGUCUAGACCUUACCCGUUAGCUGACUUUAAACCUCCCGACGGUUUCGAAAGGCCGUGUCGAGAUUUGCACCGGCGGUUGCGGGCAGACCUCCACAGUCUGCAGUGGCGGCCGACGACCGAUCACCGGCUUUGGCCAGUGGUGGGGCCUUCUCUUCCCUGCGGCUGCUACAGUGGAUCUGAGGCCGCAGGUUCCUCUUUCUAUUUUUAUUAAACCCUAAUCACAAUGAGGGUCCCAUAUAUAUAGGGCCCAAAACAAAAAAAUAACACAAAACCCCUUAUACACAAAUAAUUUUCAAUAAAGCCCAAAAUAACAUAAAUAAAGCCCUACAACAAUAAAAAUGCAAACAAGCCCAAAAAUAAAAUAAAAUCCGAAAUAAGAAUGGUGGACUGGAUGGGUGGAUGAUCAACUCGGAUGUCCCCAUUAGUUUUCAUAAUCGAUGCAUUUUUACUUCAUCCCAAAUUGGAAUUCUUAGACCUCCAAUAUACCUCACCAUAAGUUGUUCUUCAGAUUCUUGAAGAUCAUUGUGAGCCAUUACCUUGUAGAAUUUUUUAGUAUAAUCAAUCACACUUCUAGACUCUUGACGAAAAUUAUUGAAUUGAGAAAAUGCCAUUUGAGCAAAAUCCACCGGAAGAAAUUUUUUCUUAAGCCUAGAUUUCAUUUUCUCCCAAAAAGAAAUCUUAGGCUUUCCUUUGCGAAGCCGCAUCUCUUGAACUCUAUCCCACCAUGCCAAAGCAUAACCACGAAGCCUUGUAUUCAAAGAAUUUUUCAAUGGCGCUAAGCCAUUCAAGAAACUCUCCGGGUUGAAGGCGACCAUGAAAUUCCGGUAAAUCAAUCUUCAAAGUGUCGAAAUCACGAUAGAACAUCCUUUCCAUUCGUCCUUCAUGAUUGGCAAAUGGAUUCACAUCGGAUUCAUCACUAGAAAACCCAUAGCUUGAACCACCUCGCUCUCUACGAGCUUCUCGGCGCCCAAGAUGCAAAGUAAGUUUCUCAACUUGUCUUCGAAGUGCUUGAAGUUCAUCAUCUCUUUCAUCCCUCAUUUGGUUGCCACGUUGUGCUCUACCUCCUCGUGUCACCAUAAGAAAGAAGAGAAUAACCCAAGAGCGUAAUCACAAGCUCUGAUACCAAAUGAUGGGGGGGGAAGGCCAAAUGAAAUGAUAAAUGGAUGAACAAUCAUUCACAACAAGAGAGGAGGAUGGAUAAAGCAAGCUACAAGCUCAAGUUAUCUCAUAUAUCAAAUAAUUUAGGAAUCACAAUCUGUCCUUCACCAUCUACCACAUGGUCUAUUUAUACUAGUCUAAGCAUUAAUCAUGCUCCAACUUACUAAGUACCUAUUACAAUUUUCAAACCCAAAAUAAAUGUAAUCACAACUUACUAAGCACCCAUUACAAUUUUCAAACUCAAAAUAAAUAUAAACACAACU